UUUGAGUUUUACUCUACUGUUGGUGGUUUUGAGCUGAAUUAUGUUGUUUUGGUGUUCUUGAUGCAAUCUUUGAAGGAAGCUGGGUUUUUGGAUCAGAGGGUGAUUCUCCAUCAUAGUCCACUGGAUUUGGGACCUUCCUCACCUGAUUUGAAGAUUGUUAAGUGAGUUUUGACAUUGGAAUUGGAGAUUUUAGCUUAAGUGCUGAAAUUUGAGGGUUAUAAUGCAAUUGUUGAUAUUUUGGUGUUUA
RNAcentral lists this long non-coding RNA (247 nucleotides) under Ananas comosus (pineapple). RNAcentral describes it as "long non-coding RNA (ACOM_LNC000371)". Lineage: Eukaryota; Viridiplantae; Streptophyta; Magnoliopsida; Poales; Bromeliaceae. The record is from RNAcentral.